AUUGAACGCUGGCGGUAUGCUUAACACAUGCAAGUCGAACGAGUGGCGGACGGGUGAGUAAUGCAUAGGAAUCUACCUUUUAGUCUAGGAUAACUACCCGAAAGGGUGGCUAAUACUGGAUGCUAAGAGAUGAGCCUAUGUGGGAUUAGCUAGUUGGUGGGGUAAUGGCUCACUAAGGCGACGAUCUCUAGCUGGUUUGAGAGGAUGAUCAGGCACAGUGGGAAUGUGACACGGCCAAGAAUCAUACGGGAGGCAGCAGUGGGGAAUAUUGGAAAAUGGGCGAAAGCCUGAUCCAGAAAUACCGGGUGUGUGAAGAGGGCCCUAGGGUUGUAAAGAACUUUUGUUAGGGAAAUGUUACCUAAAGAAUAAGCACCGGCUAACUCCGUGCCAGCAGCCGCGGUAAUUC
Molecule: ribosomal RNA, 406 nt
Filed under: uncultured bacterium
Lineage: Bacteria
Description: partial 16S ribosomal RNA
Rfam family: Bacterial small subunit ribosomal RNA
Source: RNAcentral